AACGUAGGUGGCGAGCGUUAUCCGGAUUCAUUGGGCGUAAAGAGCUUGUAGGUGGCCUUAUAAGUUGGACGUGAAAACUCCGGGCUUAACUUGGAGAGGCCGUUCAAUACUGUAGGGCUGGAGGAUGUCAGAGGGAAGUAGAAUUCCUGGUGUAGCAGUGAAAUGCGUAGAUAUCAGGAGGAAUACCCGUGGCGAAGGCGGCUUCCUGGGGCAACCCUGACACUGAGAAGCGAAAGCUAGGGGAGCAAACGGG
Molecule: ribosomal RNA, 253 nt
Filed under: uncultured bacterium
Lineage: Bacteria
Description: partial 16S ribosomal RNA
Rfam family: Bacterial small subunit ribosomal RNA
Source: RNAcentral